AAACUAGAGGGCGCCACUACAUCUGGGUUUACAUCCGUCUAUAUCCGUUAUCCAGGUGUAUCUGUACUUGCAGAAGUUAACAUGAAGUUAAGUGACACGUUUACAGUAUACAAUAUAGCCUACUGCGUCUAUUUGGGUAGGUCUACUGAUAAUACACUAAUGCUUGUUGAACUAUUUCAACAACAGUCACUUCUUCACAGUCAUGUGUGUUUUUAUCUAUUAUACACUAUUCAACUGGUACAAUAAUUAUUUUUAUUAUUAUUGCAUAUAACUGCUAAAAAAAUAUUUUGUAAAAAGGCAUUUUAACAUGAGAAUGUCUUUAAGUGAUUCAGAACAUUCACAGCUGUAUUUUUGAAAAGAAAAAGUAAAAAAUUUCAACAGUCUGAACUGAAACUCUGAUCCUCUCAUCAGACUACUUUACUUUAUCAGUUGAACCACUUGCUCAACUUACCCCAGAACUACUAUUAUGACUUUAUUUGUCUUCAAAGCUAAAAUGGUGGACUUUUAUUCUAAGUUUUUGACCUCAUGUUGUAGCUCAUAGAUACCACAACUGAUGUAUAAAACAAAUUUAAAAUGAUCUUUUUUGGUCUGAAUACAGUUCUAAUAAAAUUAAUGACAGACUAAAUUCACUUUUAAGAGUGAUUUUUUUGUUGCUGUUGGAAAUAAAUGUCUAACCCCUUCACCCAUGUGCUUCUAACUUUCACAGACUCCAUGAAUUGAUGCCCAUCUCCUAAAUAUUUGGUCACAUGAUCGAUUUCUUUUACCAUUUCCAAUCAACAGAGGGUGGUUCAACUUAACCUCUGGCUCAAGUUACCCCACUCUCCCCUACAGUGCAGUGAUGAGGACAGUCUUUACAUUUGAAAAUUAAUAGUUUUCAUGAAAUUGAAGCAGUCACAGAAAAUUAACCUCAAGUUGUAAUUUUAUGUAAUAUCUAGAUGUGCAGGAACCUUGCACUACAGCAUAAAGAUAUCUAUGUGAUGCAUGCACAAACUAAAACCUGAUUUAAACAUGUAUUUUAUGAUUAUUGAGCAAUAUGAUCAGUGUUUGCAUUACAAGUAAGGUUGAUCUUCAUGUUUUGUAAAGUUUGCAUUCACUAGUAGUUCUGUGUGGUUACCGGUAUACAUCUUUUACUACAUGAAAUACUUAUUAUUACUUAAAUAAACACAUUGAUUGACAUUCAACCCUGUGCUUAGUAACUGCUGCUAUUAGGUCUGUAAGGGUUACUCAAUGUUGAAGUAAUGUGUUCCUUGAGUGAGCAGCUAGAUGGCACCAGACACCCACCCUAUAAAUUGGUCUGUUGCAACUGGGGCUAAAAUAUCUUUCAUGAUAUCUUAAGAAGAGACAAGAUCUGGGUUGUGAACUAUAUAGGUGUGAAAGUAGAGGUUUUAUUAACAGGUAUCAAUUACUCUUUUUAUUCAAAUUGAAAUGUCAUAAUUUAUUCAAGGGUGACUUACUGACAAAAAAUCUUCAACAAGUCUUCAACAGUGAACUGGUCAAAAUUUUAUGACAAUUAUUCAGUUAUAUGAGUACCUCCAUUAGCUUUUUAAUUAGAGAUAAUUUAGAUGUGAGAUGGAGGUUACAGGUUUGAAUUAACAAUAGGCAUAAAUGUGAUCAUCAUUGCUGCUGUUUCUGUUCCUCUUUGUAACAUCUGCUGUGACAUUGUUCUGACGUUUCUGCACACUCUAGGUUUGAAUAGCAUCAAACCCUUUUUUUUUUCACUGUACCAAAAGGAUGAACCAUGUCUGGUGUUCUUCACAACUAUAUUUAUCAGCAGGAGUUUAUUGUUACUGUCUCUCACAGCCUGAUGUUUGUUUUCCCCUUGUCUCAGCCUGCCAGGAGUGCCUCCCUCCCCUGCCGGGCUGACAACCUGAGCUGCAUGCAAAGAGCCCAUGUUCUGUCUGCGACCUGGACCACUUGGCUACUUCACAAAGGCUUUAUAAAAUAACAGAGCCAUGCCGAGGAAAUGACAGCCCGAUUUCCUUCUCUCUCCCCCUCUGGCUGCCUACUGUGGUGGGAGUGGUAUGUCUCAAGAGUCCCCUUUACCUAAAACUUAAGAACCAAUCAAGAGGUGGUGUUAUAUUAGAGAUGAUACGAUACGAUACAAUACGAUACAAACGAUACAAUACGAUACAAUACGAUACAAUACAAUACGAUACAAUACGAUUCAAU
Xyrichtys novacula (pearly razorfish) is the source of this 2169-nucleotide non-coding RNA. Lineage: Eukaryota; Metazoa; Chordata; Actinopteri; Labriformes; Labridae. The record is from the annotation of a GenBank genome assembly.